UACGUAGGUGGCAAGCGUUGUCCGGAAUUAUUGGGCGUAAAGGGCUCGCAGGCGGUUUCUUAAGUCUGAUGUGAAAUCUCGGGGCUCAACCCCGAGCGGUCAUUGGAAACUGGAAGACUUGAGUACAGAAGAGGAGAGUGGAAUUCCACGUGUAGCGGUGAAAUGCGUAGAGAUGUGGAGGAACACCAGUGGCGAAGGCGGCUCUCUGGUCUGUAACUGACGCUGAGGCGCGAAAGCGUGGGGUGCAAACAGG
Molecule: unclassified non-coding RNA, 253 nt
Filed under: uncultured Bacillaceae bacterium
Lineage: Bacteria; Bacillati; Bacillota; Bacilli; Caryophanales; Bacillaceae
Description: contains 16S-23S intergenic spacer region
Rfam family: Bacterial small subunit ribosomal RNA
Source: RNAcentral